UCGCCUGCACGAAGUCGGAAUUGCUAGUAAUCGUAGGUCAGCAUACUACGGUGAAUACGUUCCCGGGCCUUGUACACACCGCCCGUCAAACCAUGAGAGUUGGCAACACCCGAAGUCGGUAGUCUAACCGCAAGGAGGACGCCGCCGAAGGUGGGGUUGAUGAUUAGGGUUAAGUCGUAACAAGGUAAC
Molecule: ribosomal RNA, 189 nt
Filed under: uncultured bacterium
Lineage: Bacteria
Description: partial 16S ribosomal RNA
Rfam family: Bacterial small subunit ribosomal RNA
Source: RNAcentral